This 68-nucleotide transfer RNA is filed under the name Verrucomicrobiales bacterium. RNAcentral's name for it is "tRNA-OTHER". Lineage: Bacteria; Pseudomonadati; Verrucomicrobiota; Verrucomicrobiia; Verrucomicrobiales. The record is from RNAcentral.
GGGCAGUGAGACUCGGGUUACUUCGUCUUGAAAACGACUGGUCGCCGGUUCGAAUCCGGCAUUGCCUG